GGAAAGAUGGCAGAGUGGGCGAUUGCAUCGGUCUUGAAAACCGAAGGUCUGAAAGGACUCGGGGGUUCGAAUCCCUCUCUUUCCG
RNAcentral lists this transfer RNA (85 nucleotides) under Caudoviricetes sp. RNAcentral's name for it is "tRNA-Ser". It matches the Rfam family "tRNA". Rfam says of the family: Transfer RNA (tRNA) molecules are approximately 80 nucleotides in length. Their secondary structure includes four short double-helical elements and three loops (D, anti-codon, and T loops). Further hydrogen bonds mediate the characteristic L-shaped molecular structure. tRNAs have two regions of fundamental functional importance: the anti-codon, which is responsible for specific mRNA codon recognition, and the 3' end, to which the tRNAs corresponding amino acid is attached (by aminoacyl-tRNA synthetases). tRNAs cope with the degeneracy of the genetic code in two manners: having more than one tRNA (with a specific anti-codon) for a particular amino acid; and 'wobble' base-pairing, i.e. permitting non-standard base-pairing at the 3rd anti-codon position. Lineage: Duplodnaviria; Heunggongvirae; Uroviricota; Caudoviricetes. The record is from RNAcentral.